This 497-nucleotide ribosomal RNA is filed under the name uncultured bacterium. Its description in RNAcentral is "partial 16S ribosomal RNA". It matches the Rfam family "Bacterial small subunit ribosomal RNA", at positions 28 to 507 of the family's 1533-position model. The record is from RNAcentral.
GAUGAACGCUGGCGGCGUGCCUAAUACAUGCAAGUCGAGCGAACGGACGAGAAGCUUGCUUCUCUGAUGUUAGCGGCGGGCGGGUGAGUAACACGUGGAUAACCUACCUAUAAGACUGGGAUAACUUCGGGAAACCGGAGCUAAUACCGGAUAAUAUUUUGAACCGCAUGGUUCAAAAGUGAAAGACGGUCUUGCUGUCACUUAUAGAUGGAUCCGCGCUGCAUUAGCUAGUUGGUAAGGUAACGGCUUACCAAGGCAACGAUGCAUAGCCGACCUGAGAGGGUGAUCGGCCACACUGGAACUGAGACACGGUCCAGACUCCUACGGGAGGCAGCAGUAGGGAAUCUUCCGCAAUGGGCGAAAGCCUGACGGAGCAACGCCGCGUGAGUGAUGAAGGUCUUCGGAUCGUUAAACUCUGUUAUUAGGGAAGAACAUAUGUGUAAGUAACUGUGCACAUCUUGACGGUACCUAAUCAGAAAGCCACGGCUAACUACGUG